Rhincodon typus (whale shark) is the source of this 754-nucleotide long non-coding RNA. RefSeq lists it as uncharacterized. The transcript is spliced from 4 exons. The record is from RefSeq and is a predicted model, not a curated record. NCBI's taxonomy places the organism in Eukaryota, Metazoa, Chordata, Chondrichthyes, Orectolobiformes, Rhincodontidae.
UGAAGCUGGGCCGCUCCCCGCGGGAGAACCAACACCUCGCGGGAGGCAAAAAACCCAGCGACCGUUGGCAGCGCGCGCCGACUGAGUCCGUGCACCUGCGCGACGACCGCCUGGAAGAUUCUGGAAAGUACAGUGCGAGGUCAUAACGGCGUGGAGGACGACAGGUACCAUGGUGGAGCUCUCGCUGGACGACAGCAUGGUGGAAGGCCUUAUUGAGAAGGUCAGUUGGAGGAAGAGGUCCUACUUGCAUCUGGUGGAAGCAUGCUGUCAAGACAACUGGGAGCAAAAACCAAGAAGUCCACAUUAGCUGCUUUUAAUGGAAUGGUGAUAUGGUCAUGUCAUUGUUUCUGCGUCCAAAGUGUUGGUUUAAUUUAAUUUCUGGGAUCAAUUUGAAUAUUCAUGUAAAGUGGAGAAGAUAAUCGCUGAGACAGAAGACAAGUAUCAACAGAUGGCACUCAAAGUGGUCUAUACGAUCCUGUCCAUCUAGGUCGUGGGUGAAGGAGCCAGCCUGGAACAGCAUCAAGAGCGCUUAGGGAUUCUGAAGAACCUUUCUGAAGAUGUGACGGACCCUGAAAAACAAAUCCAGUUUCAGAAGUGUCAUCAGAUCACAGAGCUGACUUGCCAGAACCUGCUGCGUGGUCAUUUGAACAACCUGCUGCUCAUGGUGUGUGGCAGCUUGUCUGACCAACAACUUAGCUGUACCUUGUUGGCUUCCUUGCCGUUAGAAGACCUCUUCCUACGACAGAGAUGAAAA